GAUGAACGCUGGCGGCGUGCUUAACACAUGCAAGUCGAACGGGAAACCUUUUAUUGAAGCUUCGGCAGAUUUAGCUGGUUUCUAGUGGCGGACGGGUGAGUAACGCGUGGGUAACCUGCCUUAUACAGGGGGAUAACAGUCAGAAAUGGCUGCUAAUACCGCAUAAGCGCACGGAGCUGCAUGGCUCAGUGUGAAAAACUCCGGUGGUAUAAGAUGGACCCGCGUUGGAUUAGCUGGUUGGUGGGGUAACGGCCCACCAAGGCGACGAUCCAUAGCCGGCCUGAGAGGGUGAACGGCCACAUUGGGACUGAGACACGGCCCAGACUCCUACGGGAGGCAGCAGUGGGGAAUAUUGCACAAUGGGGGAAACCCUGAUGCAGCGACGCCGCGUGAAGGAAGAAGUAUCUCGGUAUGUAAACUUCUAUCAGCAGGGAAGAUAAUGACGGUACCUGACUAAGAAGCCCCGGCUAACUACGUG
Molecule: ribosomal RNA, 478 nt
Filed under: uncultured bacterium
Lineage: Bacteria
Description: partial 16S ribosomal RNA
Rfam family: Bacterial small subunit ribosomal RNA
Source: RNAcentral